AAUUUUAAAUUACAAAAAAAAAGCCCCUAAACAAUCUAGAAAUAACAGGGAUAGCCUUCAGCAGCCGGAACAGUGUUCAACAAAUUUUCUGGGUGCAGGAACAGUGAUGGCGCGUGGAUCCCACGCACCACCGCCACUGGCGGCGCGUGGGACCACGCGCCACCGUGAAAAACAACCCGAAACAGGGGGGGUCUGCAACGACCUCCUCCCCCUUUCUUUCCUCGCCGGCGCCGACCUGCAAUUACAACAAAAAACCCAACAAAGCAGUCGAUUUUAAAUUUUUCUUAGUUUUUUUCAGAUCUGUUUUUUCUUCUUCUUCUCCAUAUCUGCUUCGGAUUUUUGCUUCUUCUUGUCCGAUCUGGCUUCUCCUUCUCUGUUUCAGGCGACGGACGGCGCUGCUGGAGGCCGAUCUGGUUUGUGGCGGCGUUGAUGAUCACGAGUCUGCGGGGAGAAGCAACUGCUGGGAUGGGUCGGCCAGGAGGGGGUCGGUUCGGUUUCUGUGGACGGUCUGGCCCCUCGUCUGGUCCCUGUCCGGCGUGAGGCUGAGCUCGGGCUGUUGAAGCUACGGUGGAGCUGGCCUGGCCGCUGGUCUGCGGGGAGAAGAUCAGGAAGAAGACAGCGGGGAUGGAGAGGGACGGCGCCGCUGGGUUCUUCGGGUGGCUGAGGAUGAAAGGAAAAAAAAAAAGGGUUCUCUGGGGGGAGGGACUGUCGGCAGGUUGAGGGAAAAAAAAAUCAAAAGGGGAAGGGCUGCUGUUUGGUUUCAAUUGGGAGGCAGAUGGGAGAAGAGAAAAAAUGUUAUCGAGUGUGUGGGUUUGUGGAGACCGAAAAUCAACACCCCGGGGGGGGGGAAGAAUAAAUCAAAGAUGGGGGACCGUGAGGGUGAGAAGGGAGUCUCUGUGUUUUGUUUUCAAGCGGUUGUGAGGAGAAGAUCAAAAUCCCCGGGGGGUGGCCGGCGGCUAAAAAAAAAAAUCAAAACCCAGCAGGGGCUGGCGGCUGGUCCUUCAUGAGGAAAGGAAGAUGGUUCGUUUUUUUUUUUUUUUUUUUUAGGGUUUUCCCCCUUGUGUUGCCUCCCAAAAUUACCAAAUGAACCCCCCUUUUGAGUUUUGAACCAGUAUUUAUAGAAAUUUUGUAGGUUUUUCAAACUUGGUCCCUCAACUUCUUUUUUUUGUAAAUUUUGAUUUUUUUUUUUUUUUGUAUUUUUUAAAAACGAGCAAAUCAACGUCGAUUCUAUGAGAAAAAUUGAUUUUAAAAUGACGCGUGAAAAGUCGAACGCGUUCGAAAACUUGAAAAUUAAAAUUCUUUUAAAAAUUAAUUUUUAAGACGCUGAAAAUGCUAAAAUGACAAGAAUAUAUUAAAAAAAUAUAUUUUUUGGAUUUUGAUUGUUUUUCUCUAUUUUUGGAUUUUUUCGAAAAUAUAUCAAAACAUGGGUCAAAAAUUGGGUAGCAACAAUUAUAAUACAUAGUUAGGUUUAAAGUUGAUGAGAUAUCUAUUGUUAACUAAUAUUUUUUGAGUUUUAAAAUAAUUAGGUUUUAAUUUGAUAAGAUAUCUAUUGUUAACUAAUUUCUUCUUUAUACAUUGUUAUUAUCAAAGAAUCAUUAUAAACUUAAAAGCUUAAAGUUUUAAUUAUAAUUUUAUAUUAUUACUAGAACAUCUUUUCAAGUGAAAAAGACUUGACAUGGUUUUCUAUAAUAGGUUAAGCCUUCUAAUUAUUUUUAAUCUUUUUAUGCCCAUCCAACGGCUCUGCUGAAUUGCUUGAUACAUCAUAAAAUGACUUGAUUUUGUAAUGUAUAUGAUUGAACCCAUGCAAUCUGAACAUUGAAAAGUAAAAAAGAAUCUUUAAAAUUUGGUCCAGAAAAUGACUUGAUUUUUCAUGCCCAUCCAACGGCUCUGCUAAAUUGCUUGAUACAUCAUAAAAUGACUUGAUUUUGUAAUGUAUAUGAUUGAACCCAUGCAAUCUGAAGAUUGAAAAGUAAAAAAGAAUCUUUAAAAUUUGGUCCAGAAAAUGACUUGAUUUUUUAUGCCCAUCCAACAGCUCUGCUAAAUUGCUUGAUAUAUCAUAAAAUGACUUGAUUUUGUAAUGUAUAUGAUUGAACCCAUGCAAUCUGAACAUUGAAAAGUAAAAAAGAAUCUUUUAAAACUGAACAUUGAAACCUUCAAUUAAACUUCUUGUAAGAGCAUGUGAUAGCUAGAGUUUUAUUUACUUAACUGGAUUCACAAAAUACACUUUUCAAAAAAUAAGAUUUUCUCAUAUCCAAAAAUAAAAAAAAGUGUUCAGCAUCAAUGGUUGGACCCACGGAAUGUGAGGCUUGAGAAGUAAUAAAGACUUGGCAUGGUUUUCUGUCUUUUCUAUGCCCCGCUAACGGCUCCGCUAGAUGAAUUGAUUUUUUGACGUUAUUAGAAAAUUAAUAAUCAACAUGAUCGAACCCAUGGAAUCUGAACAUUGAGAAGUAAUAAAUAAUGCAUCUUUAAGAUUUAUGGUCAAGUCUUUGUUCAUGUAAUUCAGCAUCUUUUGUUUUCCAUAUCAUGUCGAUCAAAAUUGCAUUGUCAAGCAGAGAACAAAAUAAUAAAGCUAAAGCACCACCACAAGUUGAUAUAUUACUUUAUAUAUAUAUAUAUAGGUACUCUACCGAGGUAUUGUUUAAACUAUAUUUUAUUUCAACAAAAAAAUAACAUAGCCUUCUACGCUUGUAAUUGCUAAACCAUUUUGUAUUCAGAAUAUAUUAUUUAUACUAUUCUCCCAUGAAAAUUCUUGGCUGUGAUAUUCAUACACCAAUUGCUGGCUCUAUUUCAUACACCAUGGAAGACUUGGUUGAUUUGGUCGAUGACGUGGACACCUAUGGUGAUGGGGAAGAAGACGUUGCGGAUGAUGAGGACUUUUGGGGACAGCAGCAACGGGUUGGAAAAAUCAGAUCUGGCGAAGGAUGGAGACAAUUAUCAUGUAUUGAUAUUCAAAUACUCGAAAAACAAAUUAGGUGGUGUGCUGCCUCAAUCAGAAGAUUUGAAUAACUUUCAUAAUAAUUUUUUAAUAUCAUGAAUUAAUUAUUUGAAUUUGAUUAGUUACUAAGUGGUGCAUAAAUAAUGUUUUUAAAAUGCUAAAAUCAUAUUUAGAUUAGUCCAACGAUUUAGAAAGGUUUAUUCACCUUAAUUUACAUUAAAUUAAUCUUCAUUUUUAUUAUUAUUUUAAAGUUUUAUAAGUUUUAUCAAUUUUAAUUCACAUCGAGAAAAUAUAAUUUUUAAUUAAAAAAAGAUUCUAAUAAUAUUUUAUUAAUUAAACAUGAUUUGUUUUUAUAUAUUAAUUUUCGAUAUUAACCUUUAGGCUAUGCGUGUUUGUAUAACAUCAUAAUUUAAAUAAUCUUUAAAAAUUAAAUAAGUGAAUAAGCUUUCAUGCAUGCGCGCGCGCAGAUGCUUCCUCACCAUCACUAUUUAUAAACAAGGAAUUAUCUGCAAGAAAACUUAUUCUCAGUGCAAACAUGAUUAUUUACCAUGAGAAACUCAGCCAGUAUAAUUAAUUAGAAGAGAUAAAUUCUCCAUCUAAUAAAAAGAAUGAACCUUGCAGAAAUUUGUUAGACAUGCUUCAAGAAUAUCUCUCUUAUUGCAGAAAAUUAUGGUGCCACAUACCUAGUCGGGUGUCUGAAAAGCACCAAGAUCAUGAAAUUAAACCAAGAAAAUAUAUAAAUAUCAAUGAGAAAUAUUCAGGAGUGAUUUAUGAAAGUCAAUAAAUUUGACAAAAAGAAAGCAAAAUGGAUAGGAGUUUGGUCCGUCCCUUGCAUGUUUAGAUACUGCAUUACCAAGAAUGUUAUAUUUUCACAUGUCACGUUGAAGUUAUUGUAUGAAAGAUCCCUGCAAGUUAACAAUUCAUAAAAUCGAUUUGAAAUUGAUCUUUAUGAAUUGGCAAGUUAACAAUUCAUAUAUUACACUAAAUUGGCAUAAAUUAAUUAAAUUGAUUGGUCUUUUUAAUAAAAUUCUCUUAAUCUUUCUCAUCUCUCAGAGUUCACUAAAUAUACUGAAAUUGCAAGUGCACUUUUUACAAAAGCAGUGUUUUUUUUUAAUGAGUCUUUCACCUUCUCUUACAUGCUUUUCCAAAAUAUAUUUUUAUAACAUGUCAUUUUAUUAAUAAAUAAAUAAAACUAUUAUCAUGACUAGAUUCCAUAAAUUGCUAAAUAAAUAAAGAUUGAAUCUUAUAAUAUAGUUAUUAAAUAUAAAUUGAUAAAUUGAUCUAGAAAAACUUAUAAUCUAAAACCUUACCCGAGCUGAAAUUCAUGUUAAACUAAAAAGAAAUAUUGAUUAGGUGAAGUCCAAUUGAUUCACCUCUAUUUUUAAUAAUUAUAUUAACUUAAUUAAACUAAAUCUAGUUAAUUUAAAGAAUUUUCUUUAAUAAAAUAAAACAAUAUUGUUUUACUUAAAAAUAACUUAAAUUAACUGGGAUAUCUCUCAAAUUAAUUUGAUAAUUUAAACCAUUUUUCGAGUUAGUUUCCGAUUGCGAAUCGAUAACUACAAUCAUUCUACACCUAUAUACACUCUCGGAAAAAGAUAAUGAUAUUCAUUUUUCUCAAAGGAAACUGUUGGUCCACCCAUGUUCACCCUAUGAACAGUCUCCCCACUGGAUUAAAAGUUUCAGCAUCAUCUGUAAUGAGCUCAUCGGGAACUGAAACGACUUCCAAAGGCAUUUAAGAGGCAAAUGAAUUGCCUGAAGAGUGAUGGUGAUAACAGGUCUUGAGUUACAUAACUGAAAAUUCUUUAACAACAGAAGCCUUCAACUGAAAUUGCUGAGGAAACACCAAAACUCGCAUUGCUCAUGUUGUAAGUACCACUAACAAAUGGAUAGAAAUAUAACGAAUCCAUUGCCUCCCGGUUGGUUAAUCAAAAGUGUACUUGAGGUUCCAUCAAAGAUUCUUGCUGUUGAUAGAGUGGUGAAUCAUCCCCAGAAGUGACAGAUAUUGAAGCAUUUGCAAAAGUGUUUUUCGGGGUUGAAAGAAAGUUGGGAGGCAGAGCUAUCAGCAACAAAAACACGGUUACCCACUGUAGUAUUGGUGAGUGAUCCGCAGUCUAUAAGAUAAUUGUCUAUGUUGUAACCUAUUUUUGGAUUCUCAUAGAAAAUAAUAAUAAUAAUAAUAAUAAAUAAAUAAAUAAAUAGCUAGAAGAAAUUAAAAAAAAUAACAAGUGGCGGGAGCAAUCAGAAAAUUAUCAGAAAAAUGAAUUAAGGAGGAUAAAAAUACAAAGAUUAAAAUUUUGACAGUAUAUCCUUAAAUGAUGAGAGCCAUGUUAGAAAAGAAAAUUCAAUUUGAAGAGAAAAGUCCAAAAUUGGAUGUUUAUAGAAUCAAUUGGAUUUUAUUGAAGGUUUAAUUGAAUUUAUAAAGGGUUUGAUUGCAAAACAAAUUUAUUUUUAAGUCAUUUUGGGCUUUAAUUGGAAGAAAUUAAAGUUCUUAGGUCAAAUUAUAAUUUUUUAGAGUUGAUUUGGUCAAAUCAGGGGCUUAAUUGCAUAAAUAUUGAAGUUUAAUGACCAAUUAGGGAUUUAAUUGAGAAAAUCUGAAACCAAGGACCAAAUUGGAAAAGGCGCGUAAAUAGAGGGGCUGUAAUCAACCAAAUCAGGGGUCAAAUUAAAGAAAUUGGAAGGUUAUUAAUCAAUUGAGGGUCCAAAUGCACAAAUUCAAAACCAAGGACUAAAGUGAAAAAAGGCGGACAAUUAUAGGGGCGGCGAUUGAAAUUGGCAGGGAUGCAAUUGAAUUAAUUCUUAAAAUCAAGAUUACAUUGUGAGGACUUAAAAGAACAAAAGAUAAAUUAAGGAUUGAUUUGGAAAUGAAUAUGCUAGCGCCACCUUUAAAUGAAAUGACACGUUUUGUAUAAAGCGACGUCGUUUCAUGUUUAAAAAAAAAAAAACAAAGAGCAAAACGAUGUCGUUUUGAGCGACAUCGUUCCUCUUUCUCCUUCCCCUGGACGUGCAGCAAGGGAAGGCAUACGGUUUUCUUCUUCUUUCUUCAUUGAUUCCUGCGAGCCGCGUGCCCUACGAAAGACCCGAAGCCCCACGCACCUUGAUGAUGAGAAAUCGGGGGCGCCAUGCCUUGCUAGCCGUGCCCACCAACCAACCCAGCGCUGCCCUGCUCCCCAUGCACAUCAAUAAAGAGGCCUCGCUCCCUUGCCCCUACAAAUGGAGACUGAACGCCAGCACGCGAGGGGGACAAAAAAGAGAGAAGGAGGACGAACUGAAAAAGAAAGAAAACGAACCAAAACGGAGAGAACGAACAGGAGAGAGAGAGAAAGAGAGAGAGAACAAACCGGAGGGAGAGAGAACGAACCAACGAAAGGGAAAAACAAAUCGAAAGAGUAGGAAAGGAAACGGAGGAGAAGGGAAGAGCAAUAACCCCUCUCUCCACCGCUUGAAGCAGUAACACCACUUCUUAGAGCCGCCAUCCAUGAGCCGCGACACUGCCACCGGCCUCCACCGCAGCACCGCCAGCAAAGCAGUCAGAACAGUAAGGCAUCGCCUCCACCGCACCAGGUAAACCCCCCCCACCUUCAUUUGUUUUGUUGGCUACAUUUCCUCCUGCAUGUAGAACAAAUAUCGUUCUGCAUGCAAGAGAAGAGGAGGGGGAAAAUAAUUCCCCCCAUCCGUGGGUUUUUUGUUGCUGGCCCAACACUGAUGGGUUCUCCUUUUUCUAGGCCAAACGGGUUUUUGUGGGCCAGGUUGAUUCUGGCCCAGCCUUCAUGUCUGGGCCAGGUCUGGCCUAGACCCAAAGAGGCAGAGUGAACUAGUAGACCGAGAUCGGCCCAACCCUUUUGGGGUUGAGUUCGGCCCAGUUAGUUGGGCUGGCCCAACCCAACCCACCUAAUAUUAUAUAUUAUAUAUUAUAAUGUUUUUAUAUUAUUUAUAAAUAUAGAUAUAAAAAAAAUCUGAAAAAUCUUUAAAAAAAUUGUUGAUUUUCCUGCGUAUUUUUAUCAAAAUUGCUUAAUAUUGGUUUGUAUUUUUAUACUGUAAAGAUACAAAUCUAGUAUUAAAAUACCCGGUUUUUGUCAAGACAUAAAAAAAAUGUUUUGUUUUCAAAAUUCUGAAAAAUUCUUAAAAAAAAUUAUAGAUUUUCAUGCAUAUUUUUAUUGCUUAAUAUUGAUUUGUAUUUUUAUACCGUAAAGAUACUAAUCCAAUAUUAAAAUUUCCGGUUUUCGUCAAGACAUAUAUAUAUAUAUAUAUAUAUAUAGGUUUUGUUUUCAUGCAUACGGUCUAGUUUCUCCAAAAAAAUAUCAUAUUUUUAUACAAUAAAGAAAAUUUCAAAAAAUAUACGUAUUAGCAUGCACUUUGGCUUUAACAACAAGUUUGUUAGAGCCAUGAAAACAAGGCCAAUAUUUCAAAAAUUCUAAAAAAUCUUUUUGUCUUCUUUUAGUAUCUGGGAUUAUGAAUUUAUACGUAAAACAUAUUCCUGAUAUUAAAAAUAUAGUUUUCAAAUAGACGUUAGAACAAUUAGGUUUUUACCCGAUACAAUAAGGACCUCCUUACUAAGGAGAAUUUUUCUUGAACCAUAGACAGACCAACAAUUAGAAAUAUAAUAACACCUUAGCUUUUUAUCAGACAAUUAAACAAUACAGCUUAACUUAGGUAAGACGUAUUUGGGAUACUAAUACCUUUCCUUUACGCAAUCAGUCCCCGUAUCUGAUCUCUGAGACCAGUUAAGGUUACUAGUGACCAAAAUAUUAGGUGGUGACUCACAUUCCAUUUUCCACCGAUAAACGACAAGAGUUUUUUAUCUUCCUAUAUUUGCCAUAUAGAUAGAUAUUAUAUUUAGAUUUGAAGUGGAACAAUUUUUACCGCGACGCCGCACACGUGCGACAGUCUACAUGAGUGAAUCCACUAGAUAAACAUACCAAACUUAAGAUUGACAAAAGUACACAAAUGAAACGUCUAGAUCCUACACUGCCCAUCAUUUCGAAAUCUGGAACUUUACUGGGGAAAUAUGGAAAUCUAUUGAGCUUUAAGAUAUAUAGAAACUAAGGACUCUUAUCAAGGCAGAGCACUAGGGUGCCCCUAGUAAUCAAUAGCAGAACAAUAGAAACCAAAAUCCAUGAAGAGGGAUGAAUAAGGAAGUGAAAUCAAAAUCCAAGAUUGCAUAAUAUAGCAAGAGCAAGCAAAGAAGUUGGCGCUUUUCAGUUACAGAUACGGAAGAAAUCUAAAUCCUAAAUAGCAAUGUAUAGAAUUGAACAAGAAAGACAAAUCUAAAGUAGCCAAAAGCAAUACAAGGAAAGGAGCUUGUAGUUGUUGUUACUCACAAAUAAAUGAAGAAAAGAUGGCACACCUUGAACAAAAUUUGAGGUCAAAAGGGGGGGACCAGAUGGGAAAUACUUGUGAGGAGGACAAGGUAAAUAUGGUAUAUUUUGAAAUGCUAAAAGGGCUUUCAGUUCAAAUAAAAAGAAGUCAAAAUACAAGCUGGUGCGAACUAGAACUUUACUGGGGAAAUAUUGAAAUAUAUUUUAAUCAUGAAAAAAAUAUAUUUUAAUCAUCUAAUUAAAUAUUUUUUUUAUAGUUUAUUUUAUUCUAUUUUUUUUAUGUUUCUUGUUAUAUGAUUAUAUAAAUCUUGCUUGAGUUGAGUAUAACAUAUAUUUCAAAUUAUUAAAUAAUAAUAUCCUUUUCUAUUAUAAAUUUCGUUAAUUAGCAUUUAAUGUUCGCAGAACAUGUUUGGUUUGAUAAUAACAUAAAAAAAAAAAAAAUUAUUCAUUUACUUACUUUAUUCAAAAGAAACUUAACUUCUUGGUUUUGAUGCGUAUUUAAUAGUUUUUUAAUUUUAUUAAAAUUGUUUUUUCUAAUAUAUAAAUAGCAUAUAAUAGUUGUGAUACUUUUUAUUGGAAAAAUAUUGAGUAAUAAAAAUUAGAAUUAAAAUUAAUUGAAACUUUUUCUGCAAAAUACUGUAUUUCUGUGUGUUGUCUUUCUUGUUUCUUGUUUCCGCCUGCAUCAUGAACCUUUAAAAUAAUUCAUAAAUUCAAUCAAGAAUUCCCUGUCUGCAUUUUGCUGCAGUCAGCUGUGGUCACUUUUUUGCCAAUUCUGGCUGCAGAGAACUUUGCAGCUACGACGAAAGAUGCAAAAUUCUUUUUGGAAUUCAGUUCUGUUUAGAGAAGAAUCAAGCUAAUAGGUUCAGGUACCACUGGGAGAGACAGAAAGAAGCAGCUAUGGUUCAACAAGGCAUGAUCCUUGCUCAAUGAGAAGUGUAGAAAAACUGGUAUAUAAACCACACAAUCUGUGUAACAUGGUGGUCUGCAUGAUCAACAAUGGUAGUUGUCUUCUCAAUUAGAGUAUACAUAUAAGUAGGCAUUGUUUAAAAACCACAACAAAUUGGAAGACUCAUUAUUGAUGCUGCCACUCUCUCAGUUAAAGAUGUUUCUUUAAGCCUUAACGACGAUAUCGACUGAGCUCAUCUGAUUGCUAUAAGAACAAAGGAUAUUGAAUUGUCUCAUUCUGAUUGCUGCAAAACCUCAACAAAUGCUUCCUUCAAAAGCGGGUUUGAAGCUGCGACUCUUUGAGUAGUGAUGUCAAAAUCUUUACCAGAUCUGUAGCCGAAAGAGCAACCAUCAAAAUAUCAGAACACGCAUUAUAUUCUGGACAAAAUGUGAGCAUAUGCUUAUGUUCUUAAUAUCUUUGACCUAUUGCUUGCCCGGAUGACAGAGUUGAGGAUGUCACAAGACGACGAUUAAAUCAUGUUGACAUUCGAUAAACACUGUUCUUUCAUGUCCAUGCAUGGGACUAUCCUCUCUAUAUCCCACACUACCCCCACCUAAGUUGUGGAAGGGAUGAAAUAUAAAUAGCAUCACUUACGGGUCAUAAACGAUUCCUCCAGCUUCUUUGACAAUCACAGCACCACCUGCCACAUCCCUGAGUUCAAGAGUAGAUUAUAUCAAUCAUGCGUCCAGAUGAACUUUUCUUGCGUCAAUCACAAAUACGUACCACGGGCCUCCAUAUCCGGUUUCAUAAAACAAAUCAAUCCUUCCACAUGCAACUCCGCAAAGAUUCAAUGCACAGGAGCCAGUCAUCCUAAGGGAUCUCACCUGAUAACAAGAUAAUCAGAUAUGAAUUUUAAGAAAACCAACACAUUUUACCAAAGCACAUAGCUUCCACAGCAUGUUCUGGUCUCACCUUGAAAAGUAAGGUGUUAAUUCUGUUCGUUGUGGCAUCCACAGUAGACUUGUCACGUUUUGUUCCAGCCUGCUCUUAGAAGAAUUUAGUUUGGUCAGUUCCUAACAUGAUUCCUUAUGAAACAUAAAGGAGUGGACUUGAAGUAGAAAGGAGUUUUAACCAGAUUCCACACAGAGCAUAACAGGGGUGAACUUAAAGCACUCCUUUUGCAGGGUAUUUGCAAGUGCAACAUGGUAAAAACUAAAUACAUUCACAACGCAUAGAUCUGCAUUUCAAAUACAGGGAGUUGGAUUUCUAGAGUCUACGAACAAUAUUUUAAUAUAAACGAGAAGGGUUAGCAUGCCAGAAAAAUCAAUCCAGGGUUAAAACAAGCUACCCUUACUCAGCACUUAACAUUUCUGACACUAUCUGGAGUUAAGACUGAAAUUGAUUGUGCCCAAGGCAAUUUUAACACCCUUCAAACCGAUCCAAUAAGAAACCAAUUGGAGAUGUACAGUUAGAAGGAUAGAAUUGUACCAAAAAAAUAUGAGACAGUAGGGCACCAAUUCAUCUCAGGUUUCAAAACUGAUUCCCGGUUAUAUUUCAGUUUAAGCUAUCUAAACUGAAAAGCAUCUCAGUUUGCAAGUUUGGGCAGACAAAAAUGAUGCUGAAAAGCAUACCUCUGUUGCAAGAAGAGAUUUCACAAGCUCACUUUGAGAUGAUACUGCAAUCGAAACACAAGUACAUAGCUGCUUAAGUUUCAUGGAAAGAUUAGCAUGCAAAAGUAUCAAAAUAUGGAAACUGACAAUAGUCAACUCAGAGACACCUUUUAUGGGUUUUCCAUUCAGAAAUGCACCUUUUCCAUGGACGCCUGUAAAAAGCUGCAUUUAUAAAUCCAAAAUCUUUUAGCAAAUUACUGGAUCACAUUUCAAAUUCUAUAAAAUUUUGACAGAACAUUAACUUCGAUGUUAAAUGGGACAAUAUACGACCACAUAUCUGAAGUGAAAGCAAGAAGUGUUCAAGAAGGCAGACAAAAGUUUGAUGGACUAACUGCUUAGAUAUAGCUAGAUACUCGUUUUCCCGAUAUUUAAAUACUGGCAGACUCAACAUCAUAAAGCAGACAUUUAUCUGAGUAGAGGACCAUGCAGCUGAAAACUAGUGGUCACUGGUCAGUGUUCAUUUUGUGAGGAAAGAUGCACUAACAUCCAGCAUACAUGUAGAAGAUCACCAGGCUAUAUGAAAGGAGGUAAACUCUGCAUGUUCUACAUAAAAUUUUAAUCAUUUAAAGUUCAAAGUAAUAUCUGGCCACCUAAAACUAACAUGCAAUAUAUAAAAUCUCACCUCUUCCAUUAUUGGGUUGUAAACAACACCUACUGUAGGAACUUUUCCAAUUGUAAGACCAAUAGAAAUGCACACAAAGGGGAACCUACAUCCAAACAUGUUGCGACAAAUUAAAGUGAUGUUACAUGUAUAAAAACAAGAGGAAAUUGCCUUCACUAAACAAUGUUAAAAAAAAAAAUUGCAUUUACCCAUGGACAAAGUUGGUUGUUCCAUCAAGAGGAUCAACUAUCCAUGUCGGUUCAUCAGUCAGUUCCGUAAUACCACAGGCAGCAGUAGUUUCUUCCCCAAUGAACUAAGAAAACCAGCAAAAGAGAACUUUCAAGAGAAAAACAGAGGCACUUUUUAGGAGACAAUAUUCCCCGUACAGAUCAAUAAUGCUCAAAUUCAUCACCUACAAAGUAGAAAAUACUAAAGUAAGUUGUUAACCUUAUGUGAGGGGUGCUGCUGUUUGAGAUAAUUAAAAAUAAGAUCCUCACAAGCCUUGUCAGUCUCAGUAACUAAAUCCACCUGCAAUUGAGAAAUAAAAUAAACAAUUGUCAGUAAUUACACGCAUAUAGUGAAGUAUGUUUAGCCACAGCACUUUUAUCCGGGCUAAAUUAACACAAAUGGGUUGGCAACUUCUAAUUUUUUAAUUUCCUCCUCUGCUCCACAGUUAUGAUGAUACAGUCCAAUUAACAAAGGAAAUAUGCUAGCAUUACAAAAUAGCAAAAGCACUUUCAAUUUUUUUACAAACUCGAUGACCUCAGCGUGAAGAUCAAAACUUUGUUUCCCAGCAGCUUUACAAACAAGGAUUUUAGCACCUCAUGCACGAUGAAUUCAAUUACCGUUAGCUUUACAGACGUUGAUGCUAAAUUCAAUUGCCAUUUUAAAGCUCCCCCGGCAUGUUAAAUUCAAUUCCCAGUUUUGUUACAAAACAAGAUCACCUCAAUGCCAAGAUUAAAACUUUAUUUCCAUUAGCUUUACAAACUGGGAUCUUAAAGUCCCCCCUUGCAUUCUAAAUUCAAUUUGCAAGCAGAUAUAAUCAAUCACUGAUCUGAAUUCAAGAUUAUUUAGCAGCAUUUGAUCAACAAUUCUCCUUUCUUUAGGGGAAAAAAAUUGCUAAGCACUACACAGACUCUACAUUCAAGAUCACAUGAUGCAACAAGAAUGUCCAAGAUAAGACUACCUUGAUUAACGACCAACAAGAAAAAGAGAUACAAAAGAACCCAAGAAAAGCAAAGAUGGGUACCAGGCCUUUAUGCUCCACAUGCUUGGUCUGGUAGAAUCCUUCACGGAUUAUCUACAAGGCACACAAGAAAUGGAAAAUGAGACUAAAUUUGAGACCCCUAAAAAAGGAAAAACAAAAUCUAAAAUUUAUAUCUCACCUCUCCAGCUCUCUUUGCUGCCUCAACAGCAGUCUGCAAGAACUCUGAAAGAGAAUCUAAAACAUCCCAAAUAAAAAACAAAAUGCAAAAAUCAUCAAGAUCCCAUACUGAAAAUGAACCAAGAAAUCAAAAACAAAACGAGAAAGAAUGCAAUAAAAAAAACUUGAUGGGGUCCUACCAUUCUGUGCCAUGUUUUAAAAUUUGUAUGUAGAAAGAAGAGAGUGACAGAGGGAAGUAGAUUGUGGUGGAGGUGAUGGUGAUGAAAGGCUCUGUGUCUUGAGUUUUUUUACGUCUAAAAGGAAGCAGCAGGCAAACCACAAAAUGGACCGUUUGAUUUCUGUUUUUUUCUCUCUUUAUACAUAUAUAUGCUGAAGAAUCUGCCUUUUCACCCAGUCUGUGUACUUUUUGCAUCAAAUUCCUGGUGAAAAAGGAAGUCCUUUAAUGGUGCCUUUUGAGUCCUUUUAACCCUUUUUUAUGGCUAUUCUUCCCCUACGUCAUAUUGUUACUCUUGAGUUUUCCUAUGAAAUUAAGAAAAUAUUAACAUCCAAAUGAUGGGGAAAGAGAUUUGCUCAAUUUUGAAUGAUGGAGGGCAUCAUUGGUGAGCCUAGGAAGAUAGGGACCA
This 13414-nucleotide long non-coding RNA is filed under the name Populus tremula. RNAcentral's name for it is "long non-coding RNA (PTRE_LNC001145)". The record is from RNAcentral. Lineage: Eukaryota; Viridiplantae; Streptophyta; Magnoliopsida; Malpighiales; Salicaceae.